AUUGAACGCUGGCGGCAGGCCUAACACAUGCAAGUCGAACGGUAACAGGAAACAGCUUGCUGUUUCGCUGACGAGUGGCGGACGGGUGAGUAAUGUCUGUGAAACUGCCUGAUGGAGGGGGAUAACUACUGGAAACGGUAGCCAAUACCGCAUAACGUCGAAAGACCAAAGAGGGUGACCUCCGGGCCUCUCGCCAUCGCAUGUGCCCAGAUGGGAUUAGCUAGUAGGUGGGGUAACGGCUCACCUAGGCGACGAUCCCUAGCUGGUCUGAGAGGAUGACCAGCCACACUGGAACUGAGACACGGUCCAGACUCCUACGGGAGGCAGCAGUGGGGAAUAUUGCACAAUGGGCGCAAGCCUGAUGCAGCCAUGCCGCGUGUAUGAAGAAGGCCUUCGGGUUGUAAAGUACUUUCAGCGGGGAGGAAGGGAGUAAAGUUAAUACCUUUGCUCAUUGACGUUACCCGCAGAAGAAGCACCGGCUAACUCCGUG
RNAcentral lists this ribosomal RNA (490 nucleotides) under uncultured bacterium. RNAcentral's name for it is "partial 16S ribosomal RNA". It matches the Rfam family "Bacterial small subunit ribosomal RNA", at positions 30 to 507 of the family's 1533-position model. The record is from RNAcentral.